RNAcentral lists this non-coding RNA (401 nucleotides) under Pterosiphonia complanata. The record is from RNAcentral. Lineage: Eukaryota; Rhodophyta; Florideophyceae; Ceramiales; Rhodomelaceae.
GGGGCUGAAAGGAUUUCUACAUUUUGAUAUUUUAAUUAUUUUUUAUUUGACUGGUUAGAUGUAUUAAUUUACUAUAUAUCUAGUAUAUUUAUGUUUUUAAUUAUAUUAAAAACAUAAUUAUAAUUUAAUUGCAAAACACAAUAUUAUUUCUUUUUCUAAAAAUUUCGUAAUAGCAUAAAUUGUUAGAAUUUUAAAUUGUAUUUUCUAGAUUCAAUUUAUUGACUUAUUAAAAGAAUGCUCUAAUUUGAAGAUAGUAUCUGAUUUAUUGCUAUUAUUUUUUUCAUAAUUAGUAAAGUUUGAAAUUAAAUCAAUUUAAAGGUUCAAUGAAAAUUUUUUAGUUAAGUAGUACUCAAUUAAUUUUUAUAUCAAUAUGGACGUGGGUUCAAAUCCCACCAGUUCCA